GACGAACGCUGGCGGCGUGCCUAAUACAUGCAAGUCGAACGCUGAAGAGAGGAGCUUGCUCUUCUUGGAUGAGUUGCGAACGGGUGAGUAACGCGUAGGUAACCUGCCUUGUAGCGGGGGAUAACUAUUGGAAACGAUAGCUAAUACCGCAUAACAAUGGAUGACACAUGUCAUUUAUUUGAAAGGGGCAAUUGCUCCACUACAAGAUGGACCUGCGUUGUAUUAGCUAGUAGGUGAGGUAAUGGCUCACCUAGGCGACGAUACAUAGCCGACCUGAGAGGGUGAUCGGCCACACUGGGACUGAGACACGGCCCAGACUCCUACGGGAGGCAGCAGUAGGGAAUCUUCGGCAAUGGGGGCAACCCUGACCGAGCAACGCCGCGUGAGGGAAGAAGGUUUUCGGAUCGUAAAGCUCGGUUGUAAGUCAAGAACGGGUGUGAGAGUGGAAAGUUCACACUGUGACGGUAGCUUACCAGAAAGGGACGGCUAACUACGUG
RNAcentral lists this ribosomal RNA (497 nucleotides) under uncultured bacterium. RNAcentral's name for it is "partial 16S ribosomal RNA". It matches the Rfam family "Bacterial small subunit ribosomal RNA", at positions 28 to 507 of the family's 1533-position model. The record is from RNAcentral.